GACGAACGCUGGCGGCGUGCCUAAUACAUGCAAGUCGAACGCAGUGGGGACGGGUGAGUAACACGUGGGUAACCUCCCAUCAGAGGGGAUCACACUUUGAAACAGGUGCUAAACCGAUACUGAUUUCUGGACCCGCUGUGCAUUAGCCAGUGGGUGAGGUAACGGCUAACCAAGGCCACGAUGCAUAGCCGGCCUGAGAGGGGGAUCAGCCACACUGGGACUGAGACACGGCCCAGACUCCUACGGGAGGCAGCAGUGGGGAAUCUUCGUCAAUGGACGAAAGUCUGACCGAGCAACGCCGCGUGAGUGAAGAAGGUUUUCGGGUCGUAAAACUCUGUUGUUAGAGAAGCGGUAUCUAACCAGAAAGCCACGGCUAACUACGUGCCAGCAGCCGCGGUAAUUC
RNAcentral lists this ribosomal RNA (403 nucleotides) under uncultured bacterium. Its description in RNAcentral is "partial 16S ribosomal RNA". It matches the Rfam family "Bacterial small subunit ribosomal RNA", at positions 28 to 526 of the family's 1533-position model. The record is from RNAcentral.